RNAcentral lists this long non-coding RNA (794 nucleotides) under Numida meleagris (helmeted guineafowl). RNAcentral's name for it is "lncRNA (ENSNMEG00000018402.1)". Lineage: Eukaryota; Metazoa; Chordata; Aves; Galliformes; Numididae. The record is from RNAcentral.
UUCACAGUCAUCUUCCGUUAUCUGUGUCACCAUCAUCUCAUGUCUUCUCUGGCAGCACCUCUGCCCAUGCAGCUCCCUUGCCAGACAGCCUCCUUGGGUUGGAGGCAGCAGCGCAGCAGGCCUUGGUGGCUGCAGGGGUGGCAGGCCCCAUGCUUACUGUGGCUGUGUCAGUGAGACUUCAUUUUCAAGCCCCAGAUGUGUGUCCAAAGAACUUGCAUGUUCUCCUGAGCAUGUGCUACUGCUCUGUAUGGAGGUCAGCCACCAGCACCACUCUCCUGUGCAACGUGGAGAGCAGGGCAGAGACAGCGGGCCCAGACUCGAGCAGACAGCAAGUGAAAUCGAAGAGUGGUGGAAGACAGUGGUUUAAGCUGGAGCGGGGUUGUUGGGACUUCUGCCGUACAUCUUGACCCAUGAGCUGAGUAAUCUCUUUCUCAUUGAUCUGGACACAAAACUGAUAGAUGGAUGUAGGAAAAGGCUGUAAGCAGCAGGCUCCAACUGCAUUAGAUUGAUGUAUCAGGCAGCUUCCAGCUGGGUGUGAUAGGAAGAUUACAGGGCUCCAACUGUAUCCCAGUACAACUCAAAGUGAGCUUUCUGAAGUCUACUCAAAAGAUUCAGCGUAGUCAUUGAAUUCUUGAGAAUUUUCCAUUACAGCAGAUUCAGAAAAUACUCCAAGAGAAAUCUCAAUUUGCAGAGACGUUGAAUUUCAACAUGUCAUUGGCAUUCGUACUGGAAAUGUGACUGUAUGCACAGAUCUUUACAAUAAAAUUAAGUUGAAUUAUAUGAAAAAAAACUUU